UCGAGGAUCUUCGGCAAUGGGCGCAAGCCUGACCGAGCGACGCCGCGUGUGCGAGGAAGGCCUUCGGGUUGUAAAGCACUGUCGAGGGGGAGGAAGCUCCGCAAGGGGUUGACCUAUCCCUGGAGGAAGCACGGGCUAAGUUCGUGCCAGCAGCCGCGGUAAGACGAACCGUGCGAACGUUGUUCGGAAUCACUGGGCUUAAAGGGCGCGUAGGCGGGCUGGUCGGUCAGGGGUGAAAUCCUUCGGCUUAACCGAAGAACAGCCUUUGAUACCGCCAGUCUCGAGGGAGGUAGGGGCAUGUGGAACUUCCGGUGGAGCGGUGAAAUGCGUAGAUAUCGGAAGGAACGCCGGUGGCGAAAGCGACGUGCUGGACCUCUUCUGACGCUGAGGCGCGAAAGCUAGGGGAGCAAACGG
This 414-nucleotide ribosomal RNA is filed under the name uncultured bacterium. RNAcentral's name for it is "bacterial SSU rRNA". It matches the Rfam family "Bacterial small subunit ribosomal RNA", at positions 355 to 775 of the family's 1533-position model. The record is from RNAcentral.